This is a long non-coding RNA of Helianthus annuus (common sunflower), 449 nucleotides long. RefSeq lists it as uncharacterized. The transcript is spliced from 3 exons. The record is from RefSeq and is a predicted model, not a curated record. NCBI's taxonomy places the organism in Eukaryota, Viridiplantae, Streptophyta, Magnoliopsida, Asterales, Asteraceae.
GAAAUCGAUCAAGAACAGAGCAAGAGGGGGAAACCCUAGCUUCAAGAAACCAAGCAAUUGAAUCUGAAUUCAUAAGAUAAUCCAGUGCAUGAGCCCUGGAAUUUGAGUAGCUAACCCCAAUUUAUGAAGUGGCGUGAAGGAAGAAGGUUCCAAUACUAGGAAAUCGGAAAGUUCACAAGAUCGAGGUAAAUCCUCGACUUAGGUGACUUGGCAAUUUGGAGUGAACACACGCAUUUAUUAUGACCGUCAAGCGCUUCUGCUAUUUUGUAGUAAUAUUAUGGGUCAAAAUACUUGUUGUGUAUAACCUUGUUAGUAGCUAUACUUGUUAAACUUGAUGUUAUGGUUUUUGGUCGCGUCUGUCAAACGGGUUGUAGACUUUUUAUAUAGAUGAUGGUUAAAACAGGGAUACACUCGUCGUAUGGAUGGGUCAUGCCCAAAUUUUGUUAAAG